This is a long non-coding RNA of Carassius carassius (crucian carp), 310 nucleotides long. RefSeq lists it as uncharacterized. Lineage: Eukaryota; Metazoa; Chordata; Actinopteri; Cypriniformes; Cyprinidae. The record is from RefSeq and is a predicted model, not a curated record. The transcript has 3 exons.
UAUUAGCCUAUUUUUCGAGUCAUUUGCACAUAACGUAACGUUACAUAAAACUGGUUUUGAUCAUUUUCUCUCCUCAGAAAAUCCAGUACGACUUCUCUAAAAAUCUCAAAGGGUUCACAGAGCAGCACUAUUUAAUAAAGAAAUGUGGCUCUGUAGUGGACACCUGUGAGGCAGUGGACAGACAGCUGCUGAUGUCUGAUGCUGGCUGACAAUAAACAGACCUCUCUGGACGUACCCCAUCUUUUGCAGAGUAAUUCUAACAUUGCCCUAUCUGUAACAUGAUGAUCCUGCUGUCCUGGAUUGUAUAUGA